This 255-nucleotide small RNA is filed under the name Saimiri boliviensis boliviensis (Bolivian squirrel monkey). RNAcentral describes it as "Metazoan signal recognition particle RNA (ENSSBOG00000003968.1)". Lineage: Eukaryota; Metazoa; Chordata; Mammalia; Primates; Cebidae. The record is from RNAcentral.
GCUGGGCGUGGUGGCGCACGCCUGUAAUCCCAGCUACUCGGGAGGCUGAGGCAGGAGAAUCACUUGAGCCUGGGAGAUGGAGAUUGCAGUGGGCUGAGAUGGUGCCACUGCACUCUAGCCUGAGGGGAAAAAAAAAGAAGAAGAGAGAGAGAUAGGGUCUCAGGGUCUCACUGUAUUGCCCAGGCUGGAGAGCAAUGGCACAACCAGGACUAGCCGCAGCCUCGAUCCCAGGGCUCAGGUGAUCUUCCCGCCUCA